This is a non-coding RNA of Paramuricea clavata, 564 nucleotides long. Lineage: Eukaryota; Metazoa; Cnidaria; Anthozoa; Malacalcyonacea; Plexauridae. The record is from the annotation of a GenBank genome assembly.
GUAAUAUACUCAGGUGAAUAUGAUGUCUGCAUGUGUGUAUAUCCACAUUACUCUGAGUGUAUAUCCACACCGGGCGAGCCAGAAAACUAUGCCCGGCCACGGUGGGAAUCGAAUCUACGACCUUUGGAAUACUAGCCCAAUGCUCUGCCAACUGAGCUACGCGGUCAGGUCGGUCCGAGUAAGUGAUAUUUCGGAACAGAAUCUAGUUCCUUCUUAUUCUAUUGACUACGAGUAUGACCCAAUUAAUAUAAGCGACCCAUGAUGAACUACGAGAUGCCUGCAGAGGUACGAUGACGCCACUUUGCAAGGGGAAAACCAUUUGACUUUUUAGGGGAAGGGUUAUCGUGAACGGUGGAAAAAAUAUGCAUUCGGUCAACCUCGUAUUCGGGUAAAUCAAUGGUUGGCCUUUUAGGCUUCGCUCACACUUUCCGGAUAGUUUUCCGUAGCGACGUGAAAAAACAACUAUCCGUACCUUUUAGGAACGCUAUUUUCAGAGGAAUUGACCAUUUGCGUAAUAGACUAAAUUUUGAACUAAACAAGUCUAGACAAAAAUUUCAUCACAGC